GAUGAACGCUGGCGGCGUGCCUAAUACAUGCAAGUCGAGCGAACAGACGAGAGAGCUUGCCCUCUCUGACGUUAGCGGCGGACGGGUGAGUAACACGUGGGUAACCUACCUAUAAGACUGGGAUAACUUCGGGAAACCGGAGCUAAUACCGGAUAAUAUUUAGCUUCGCAUGAAGCAAUAGUGAAAGACGGUUCUGCUGUCACUUAUAGAUGGACCCGCGGUGUAUUAGCUAGUUGGUGAGGUAACGGCUCACCAAGGCAACGAUACAUAGCCGACCUGAGAGGGUGAUCGGCCACACUGGGACUGAGACACGGCCCAGACUCCUACGGGAGGCAGCAGUAGGGAAUCUUCCGCAAUGGACGAAAGUCUGACGGAGCAAUGCCGCGUGAGUGAAGAAGGUUUUCGGAUCGUAAAACUCUGUUGUAAGGGAAGAACAAGUACGUUAGUAACUGAACGUACCUUGACGGUACCUUACCAGAAAGCCACGGCUAACUACGUG
Molecule: ribosomal RNA, 499 nt
Filed under: uncultured bacterium
Lineage: Bacteria
Description: partial 16S ribosomal RNA
Rfam family: Bacterial small subunit ribosomal RNA
Source: RNAcentral